CGGGUGAUGUGUUUAGAAGAUCUGCAGCUGCAAAAGUUAGACAGCCUGGUUGUCAGCGAGGGGCAGGGACUUGAUUUAAAACUUGCAGAAUUCAGCCUGCAAGACUUUGGGAGCCAGCCAGGGAGACACUAUACAAAGCAUCACCUACACAAUACUCGGAAUGACCACCAGAACGAUAAGUAAACGAAUACAGAAGCAUUGUCGUAAUAUAUACGAAAUGUUCCUAAAGACAUUAAAGAUGGCAGAACAAUCACAAGUGUUGCCAAACAUUAUCACAUACAUCACAAUCAUGAUGAUAAUCUUCUUAAAUAUGCUGUCAUUCAAGAGGCAAGUUUAGGGAUUAGAGGAGGCAACUUGGAAAAGACAUUGCUACAGAUGGAAUGUAAAUGGAUUAAUCUUCUUAAUUCAGUCAAACCUUAUGGUUUAAAUGGCUUCAAUAACUGCAAUGUAUUUCUUUAAAUAAAGAUAUCUGCUCUGCGUUAA
Molecule: long non-coding RNA, 483 nt
Organism: Bombina bombina (fire-bellied toad)
Lineage: Eukaryota; Metazoa; Chordata; Amphibia; Anura; Bombinatoridae
Exons: 2
Source: RefSeq, a predicted model, not a curated record